UUAAAGAUGAUGAUUGGGUAGAGUAAUCUGCCUACCCCCUGCAGAGAGGAGAUGUCAGCGGCUGAAAGCAUCUCCGGGGCAAUGGACAGGUGAAGUGCACCCAUGAAUCGGAAGGUCGAAAACGUACAAAAGGUACAGAGUAGACUUUCACGGAGACGCUCCGUUAUGCGAAUAAGAUGGGUUUUCCCAAUUAGAGUGGAACCGCGAAAUUAAAACGCCUCUAUA
RNAcentral lists this non-coding RNA (225 nucleotides) under Acetivibrio clariflavus. RNAcentral describes it as "Clostridium clariflavum T-box sequence". It matches the Rfam family "T-box leader". From Rfam's summary of the family: Uncharged tRNA acts as the effector for transcription antitermination of genes in the T-box leader family. T-boxes are found upstream of many aminoacyl-tRNA synthetase genes and some amino acid biosynthetic genes usually in Gram-positive bacteria. The record is from RNAcentral. Lineage: Bacteria; Bacillati; Bacillota; Clostridia; Acetivibrionales; Acetivibrionaceae.